CGUCUCCCGGCCCUCUCCCGUCCGCGGGUGGGGCGCCCGCCGGAGGAUAACCAAACUCUGAUUUAACGACGUUUCUUCUGAGUGACACAAGCAAAUAAUCAAAACUUUUAACAACGGAUCUCUUGGUUCUGGCAUCGAUGAAGAACGCAGCGAAAUGCGAUAAGUAAUGUGAAUUGCAGAAUUCAGUGAAUCAUCGAAUCUUUGAACGCACAUUGCGCCCGCCAGCAUUCUGGCGGGCAUGCCUGUUCGAGCGUCAUUUCAACCCUCAAGCUCUGCUUGGUGUUGGGGCUCUACGGUUGACGUAGGCCCUUAAAGGUAGUGGCGGACCCUCUCGGAGCCUCCUUUGCGUAGUAACAUUUCGUCUCGCAUUGGGAUUCGGAGGGACUCUAGCCGUAAAACCCCCAAUUUUACUAAGGUUGACCUCGGAUCAGGUAGGAAUACCCGGUGAAAUUUAACAAAAUAAA
RNAcentral lists this non-coding RNA (464 nucleotides) under Colletotrichum truncatum. RNAcentral's name for it is "sequence contains 18S rRNA gene, ITS1, 5.8S rRNA gene, ITS2 and 28S rRNA gene". The stretch from base 103 to 256 matches the Rfam family "5.8S ribosomal RNA". Lineage: Eukaryota; Fungi; Ascomycota; Sordariomycetes; Glomerellales; Glomerellaceae. The record is from RNAcentral.